GAUGAAGAACGCAGCGAAAUGCGAUACGUAAUGUGAAUUGCAGAUCUCUCAGUGAACCAUCGAAUUUUUGAACGCACAUAGCGCCCGCCGGUCAUUCCGGCGGGCAUGCCUGUCCGAGCGUCGAUGACGCCGCUCGAGCCCCCGUGCUCGGUGUUGGGGCGCUAGGUCUCCCAGAGGCCUAGGCCCCCAAGUAGCAGUGCGCGGUCCGGCUGCGGGCCCCGGGUACAGUAACUUCACCGUUGAGAUGCCCUGGGAGCCGCUGGCUGGGGCAGCCGUAAAACCCCCGACAUAGGCCUCUCUGCCCGCCCCCGGCGGGGGGGGAGACCGCCUAAUGUUGACCUCGGAUCAGGUAGGACUACCCGCUGAACUUAAGCAUAUCAAUAAGCGGAGGA
This 392-nucleotide unclassified non-coding RNA is filed under the name soil metagenome. RNAcentral's name for it is "partial contains 5.8S ribosomal RNA, internal transcribed spacer 2, and large subunit ribosomal RNA". The stretch from base 1 to 123 matches the Rfam family "5.8S ribosomal RNA", at positions 35 to 154 of the family's 154-position model. The record is from RNAcentral.